GCCUGGCUAGCUCAAUCGGUAGAGCGUGAGACUCUUAUUUCAUCUCAAGGCUGUGGGUUCAAGCCCCACGUCGGGCU
This is a non-coding RNA of Yarrowia sp. E02, 77 nucleotides long. The record is from the annotation of a GenBank genome assembly. Lineage: Eukaryota; Fungi; Ascomycota; Dipodascomycetes; Dipodascales.